This 510-nucleotide ribosomal RNA is filed under the name uncultured bacterium. RNAcentral describes it as "partial 16S ribosomal RNA". It matches the Rfam family "Bacterial small subunit ribosomal RNA", at positions 28 to 507 of the family's 1533-position model. The record is from RNAcentral.
GACGAACGCUGGCGGCGUGCUUAACACAUGCAAGUCGAACGAAGAGCGAUGGAAGCUUGCUUCUAUCAAUCUUAGUGGCGAACGGGUGAGUAACGCGUAAUCAACCUGCCCUUCAGAGGGGGACAACAGUUGGAAACGACUGCUAAUGCCGCAUACGAUCUGACCUCGGCAUCGAGGAUGGAUGAAAGGUGGCCUCUAUUUAUAAGCUAUCACUGAAGGAGGGGAUUGCGUCUGAUUAGCUAGUUGGAGGGGUAACGGCCCACCAAGGCGAUGAUCAGUAGCCGGUCUGAGAGGAUGAACGGCCACAUUGGGACUGAGACACGGCCCAGACUCCUACGGGAGGCAGCAGUGGGGAAUCUUCCGCAAUGGACGAAAGUCUGACGGAGCAACGCCGCGUGAGUGAUGACGGCCUUCGGGUUGUAAAGCUCUGUUAAUCGGGACGAAAGGCCUUCUUGCGAAUAGUUAGAAGGAUUGACGGUACCGGAAUAGAAAGCCACGGCUAACUACGUG